GGGCCCCUGCCUCAUAAUACCCCUUUAAACGUUAGACACCCAAGGGUCUCAUAAUUCCUUGGUUCUGGGUUCAAAUCCCGGUGGGCCCACCA
This 92-nucleotide transfer RNA is filed under the name Opitutales bacterium. Its description in RNAcentral is "tRNA-Leu". Lineage: Bacteria; Pseudomonadati; Verrucomicrobiota; Opitutia; Opitutales. The record is from RNAcentral.